Molecule: ribosomal RNA, 453 nt
Filed under: Streptococcus cristatus
Lineage: Bacteria; Bacillati; Bacillota; Bacilli; Lactobacillales; Streptococcaceae
Description: bacterial SSU rRNA
Rfam family: Bacterial small subunit ribosomal RNA
Source: RNAcentral
GACGAACGCUGGCGGCGUGCCUAAUACAUGCAAGUAGAACGCUGAAGGAGGAGCUUGCUCUUCUGGAUGAGUUGCGAACGGGUGAGUAACGCGUAGGUAACCUGCCUGGUAGCGGGGGAUAACUAUUGGAAACGAUAGCUAAUACCGCAUAAUAUUGACUAUUGCAUGAUAGUCAAUUGAAAGGUGCAAAUGCACCACUACCAGAUGGACCUGCGUUGUAUUAGCUAGUUGGUGGGGUAACGGCUCACCAAGGCGACGAUACAUAGCCGACCUGAGAGGGUGAUCGGCCACACUGGGACUGAGACACGGCCCAGACUCCUACGGGAGGCAGCAGUAGGGAAUCUUCGGCAAUGGACGGAAGUCUGACCGAGCAACGCCGCGUGAGUGAAGAAGGUUUUCGGAUCGUAAAGCUCUGUUGUAAGAGAAGAACGAGUGUGAGAGGGAAAGUUCACA